This 253-nucleotide ribosomal RNA is filed under the name uncultured bacterium. Its description in RNAcentral is "partial 16S ribosomal RNA". The stretch from base 27 to 253 matches the Rfam family "Bacterial small subunit ribosomal RNA", at positions 550 to 776 of the family's 1533-position model. The record is from RNAcentral.
UACCAGCACCCCGAGUGGUCGGGACGAUUAUUGGGCCUAAAGCAUCCGUAGCCGGUUCUACAAGUCUUCCGUUAAAUCCACCUGCUCAACGGGUGGGGUGCAUGGUAGACUGCAGGGCUAGAGGACGGUAGAGGGGGGUGGAAUUGCUGGUGUAGCGGUGAAAUGCGUAGAGAUCAGCAGGAACACCCGUGGCGAAGGCGGCCCCCUGGGCCGUACCUGACGCUGAGGCGCGAAGGCUAGGGGAGCGAACGGG